RNAcentral lists this ribosomal RNA (487 nucleotides) under uncultured bacterium. RNAcentral describes it as "bacterial SSU rRNA". It matches the Rfam family "Bacterial small subunit ribosomal RNA", at positions 21 to 507 of the family's 1533-position model. The record is from RNAcentral.
GGCUCAGGAUGAACGCUGGCGGCGUGCUUAACACAUGCAAGUCGAACGAAGCACUUUAUUUGAUUCCUUCGGGACUGAAGAUUUUGUGACUGAGUGGCGGACGGGUGAGUAACGCGUGGGUAACCUGCCUCAUACAGGGGGAUAACAGUUGGAAACGACUGCUAAUACCGCAUAAGCGCACAGUGCUGCAUGGCACAGUGUGAAAAACUCCGGUGGUAUGAGAUGGACCCGCGUCUGAUUAGCUGGUUGGUGAGGUAACGGCCCACCAAGGCGACGAUCAGUAGCCGGCCUGAGAGGGUGAACGGCCACAUUGGGACUGAGACACGGCCCAAACUCCUACGGGAGGCAGCAGUGGGGAAUAUUGCACAAUGGGGGAAACCCUGAUGCAGCGACGCCGCGUGAGUGAGGAAGUAUUUCGGUAUGUAAAACUCUAUCAGCAGGGAAGAUAAUGACGGUACCUGACUAAGAAGCACCGGCUAAAUACGUG